ACGGGAGGCAGCAGUGGGGAAUAUUGGGCAAUGGGCGCAAGCCUGACCCAGCAACGCCGCGUGAAGGAUGAAGGUCUUCGGAUUGUAAACUUCUUUAAUCGGGGAAGAAAAAAAUGACCUACCCGAAGAAUAAGCCACGGCUAACUACGUGCCAGCAGCCGCGGUAAUACGUAGGUGGCAAGCGUUAUCCGGAUUUACUGGGUGUAAAGGGCGUGUAGGCGGCUCUGCAAGUCAGAAGUGAAAUUCCCGGGCUCAACCUGGGCGCUGCUUCUGAAACUGCAGAACUUGAGUACUGGAGGGGAAAGCGGAAUUCCUAGUGUAGCGGUAAAAUGCGCAGAUAUUAGGAAGAACACCGGUGGCGAAGGCGACUUACUGGACUGUAACUGACACUGAAGUACGAAAGCGUGGGGAGCAAACAGGAUUAGAUACCCUGGUA
Molecule: ribosomal RNA, 436 nt
Filed under: uncultured Saccharofermentans sp.
Lineage: Bacteria; Bacillati; Bacillota; Clostridia; Eubacteriales; Oscillospiraceae
Description: bacterial SSU rRNA
Rfam family: Bacterial small subunit ribosomal RNA
Source: RNAcentral